UUCAGUGGGAGUCUGGGGUGGGAGAGGAACUCUGGAUCUGACAAUCUGAGGUCACCAGCAUCCUGAACUUCUGAGUCAGUGUGAGUUGAGGACUCUCUAUGGUCCUACUGAGCCAGGCCCUCUAUGGCUGUUUCAGAACACCAAAAAUGCUACAUUGGUUCUUAACUGGACUGAAAAAGGACAGAGGAACAAACAGAAACAUAAAGAGUGUAAAGGUGAAUUAACAGAUCUUUGCCCUUGUAUGGAAUGAGGAGGAGUAAGGCAUAAGAGGAGGAGUUAGAAGAGAUCUGUGGCUUUGGCCUUUUACCAGUCGUAUUUACCUUUUUCUACAAGUAAGCAAUAUAUAUCCCAAUUCUGAGUUGACAGAAGAAUCCUACAGCAGCAGGGGGUCACUCAGCACCAACAUA
Molecule: long non-coding RNA, 407 nt
Organism: Mauremys mutica (yellowpond turtle)
Lineage: Eukaryota; Metazoa; Chordata; Testudines; Geoemydidae
Exons: 3
Source: RefSeq, a predicted model, not a curated record